CACGCCCUAAACGAUGAUCACUCGUUGUUGGCAACUAUAUCGUCAGCGACUAAGCGAAAGCAUUAAGUGAUCCACCUGGGGAGUACGAUCGCAAGGUUGAAACUCAAAGGAAUUGACGGG
Molecule: ribosomal RNA, 120 nt
Filed under: uncultured bacterium
Lineage: Bacteria
Description: partial 16S ribosomal RNA
Rfam family: Bacterial small subunit ribosomal RNA
Source: RNAcentral